GCAUUGAAAUGCAUUGUGUCUGGCAGGAUUUCUUGUAGGGUGUUCCACAGUGCCAUUCUUCUUCACAUGGAUUUCCUUGCUGACUUAAGGCUCAGAAUUCAGAAGGACAGAGGCUGUGGUAAAGGGAUCCUAAAACAAAAUUUGAGAUAUCCAAAGACGAAGGGCCCGAGCCUUUUCUUCACAAUCCCUCCUGCGAGCACCAGCUUCUCAGCCUCAAGACUGGAUUCCUAAAAACAUGUAAAAGAUACAAACAUGUUCCUUGAGAACGGGUUGGAAUAAUUCUAUAAUAAUUACGUGUUUUAUUUUUAGUAUUAUAAUAGAUUCAUUUUCUUCAUUUUUUCAUUCCAGUGAUGGAACCUAGGAAUUAGUGAUGAGGGGGUGGGGUGGUGACCUGCUGAGGUGAAGUUAUAUUUGCCAGGUGCCUGAAUGGGGGACUCUGGAGAGUAUAAAGUCACUGGGCAUCUGUGGAGAAAGCAGGGUAAGGGAGUAGAUUGGGGCAGAGAGUUAAAGACUUCACAGUUGAGUGGAGGGAAGAUGACUUGAACAUGGCCACCAAAGAAAGUAUGAUAUUCUCAUGAGAACCAAGGAUGUGAGCAGUUUGCAGGGAGUUCAGCACACACCUUGCUGUUGUGUUGCCUGCAAAGGGGCCUUAUGAUAUUUGCACUCUCUCUCGGUGGCUCUUCAAUUUUGUUGUAUUUGUAUGAUGUGUACCUACAAUUUAAUUAAUUGCUAUUUAUCAGGCACCAUGCAAGCAGAUGAUAUAAUUUCAUUUAAUCCAUUUAACAUGAGGUAGUUUUUACUACCCACGUAGCCCCAUUUGAUAGGUGAAGAGUCUGAUCUUCAAGGGCGAAAUGAAUCGAUUAGCUCAGAUUAGUACUGUAGAGCCAGGAUUUGACUCGGUCUGUGUGACUUCAAAGACCAUACUGUAUUUCACAGAGGUGGUACUCAACAGAACCUCCAACUGAGGCCCAACCUUUUUGCUUUAUGGCCAAAGACCAUGGUUAUGGAAGAAUUUGGCUCUUUAGACAUUCUGGACACUGGCCCUAGCUUUAUAAGUACUACAUUCUAACUAACUGGGAUGACCAUUUGCUUGCUGUGUCACUUAACUUUUGCUAUGCAAUAAACCACCCCCAAACUAGUGACCUUAAGAAAACAUUGAUUUAGUUCAUGAUUCUGUGUGAUGGCAAUCUGUUUGGGCUUGUUGGACAUUCCAUGUGAUCAGGACCAGAAUCAGUCCUUCUUGGCUGGACUCCAUCCCAUGUCUGGGAGCUUAAUUUCCUCCAUGGGUCCAUCAUCCCUCUGUAGGCUUGCCUGAGCUUGUUCACACAGUGGCAGAGGGCUUUUACGAGCAAAAAGGUAGCAGAAGCUUGAAUAUGUCCACACUUUUUUUUCUUUUUAGGGCUGCACUCAUGGCAUAUGAAAGUUCCCAAGAUAGGGGUCGAAUUGGAGCUGUAGCUACUGGCCCAUGUCACAGCCACAGCAGUGGUAGGAUCCAAGCUGUGUCUGUGACCUCCACCAUAGCUCAAGGCAAUGCUGGAUCCUUAACCCACUGAGUGAGGCCAGGAAUCGAAUCCUCAUCCUCAUGGAUACUAGUCGGAUUUGUUUCCACUGUGCCACAACGGGAACUCCUGUUAGCACUUUUUAAAGUCUGUCUUUGUGUCACCUUCACUAAUGUCCUAUUAUCAAAGCUAGUCACAUGUCCCACCAGGAUUCAGAGUGGAGAAAUAGAUUUCUCUACCUAGAAGAUUCUGCAGCAUCCUUUGGCAAGGGCAUCACACUACAAAGCUGUUACAUUACAAACUCAUGAGUGCAGGGAGGGAAAGAAUUUGUGAUCAUUUAUAAAAUCACCAGGAAUUCCCUGAUGGCCUAGCAGUUAAAGAUCCGGCAUUGUCACUGCAGUGGUUUGGGUUAUAGCUCUGGUGUGGUUUCACUCCCUGUCCUGGGAACUUCCUCAUGCCACAGGUGAGGCCAAAAAAAUAAAAACAAAAAAAACUCUUAUACUUGCCUAAUUCUGUCUAGUAAAUUGAAAACAAUUUAGUACUUCCCACACAGGAAAACCACACAAAAAUUGGAGAUGUGUCAUAGAAAAUGUUUAUUAUUACUGACAAAUAUGAAGCCCUCUGGUUGGUCAAAUAGUGAAAACUGCUCAUCAUACUUAAGCAACUGAAGAAAAUUGGACUGCCCUAGUCAUCACUCAUACUUAUUUACAAGUUACCUUUUUUUUUUUAAUUAGUAAAGGAAUUCUAAAAAUUGCUUAUAAGUCAAGUAUGAAUUUUCCAAAUGACUGUUAUAAAGGCACCCAGGGAACAAAAUAACCUUUGUUCCAACAUGCUUUAAAAUUUAGGAAAAUCUGUUUAUUUGAGCUUUGGAUUUUCCCCAUGAAGAUUAAAAAGCAAGUGAUUAUGUAAUUUAGAAAAUCUUUGGGAAGUCAUUUUUUUUUUUUCUGCCAUGUCCAAGACAUGAGAAAUUUUCUGGGCCAGGGAUUGAACCCAUGCUGUAGCAUCGACCUGAGCCACAGUCAUGACAACACUGGAUCCUUAACCUCCUAGGCCACCAGGGAACUCCAAGAAGUCAACUUUUUAAAGGCAAUAACAAAGAAAUGUCCCUUUAGGAAGAAAAGUUACCAACAAAUGCUGUGGAGUAAAUGAAUUUCUAUGACAAGAAGAGAGAAAUCCUCUAUCACAUAAAGAAAAAGAGACUUUCACUGAGAUUGUGCACCUGCAACAUUUGGUUGUGGAUUACGUGGAAGAAAUGUUUUCAGUGCACUCUUCCCUUUCCUUCAUUAUGCCCUUGAUUGCUACUUGGUCUGAAUUUCUCCCCAUGAAAGCACUAAAUUAUUUCAUCUUGACUAGGGAACUGAGGACCUAUUCACAGUAUGGCCGCAAAAGUUGGAGCAGAAGCUCUCAUAUUGCUCUGCUUUGUUAUUCUUGGCCAGAUCUCAUUCCCUUGAGGAUAAUGAACUCCCUCACAAUUAAUCCUUGUCAGCAGAAGACACUUUAUGAUAUGAAAUAAAAAUAAAAUUCCACCCCAAGAUAGACAGUAUAGAUAGUUUGAGAUAUGAAUGUGUUUCUAUGUAUUUGUCCACAGGAAACUGUAAAAAGAGAUGACAGACUGUGAACCAGAACUUCUCUUGACCCCCCAGAUAAGAAACGUCCCCUCACAAAAUUCUAAAUACAUGUACUACCCCAGUUUCAAGCUCGGCUUUUCCAAUUAUUUUAAUAACUGAAUAUGUACAUGUUUUCCCCUUUG
RNAcentral lists this long non-coding RNA (3249 nucleotides) under Sus scrofa (pig). Its description in RNAcentral is "lncRNA (ENSSSCG00000055446.1)". The record is from RNAcentral. Lineage: Eukaryota; Metazoa; Chordata; Mammalia; Artiodactyla; Suidae.